AGGAUCAGAGUUCAUCCAUGAAAAACAUUUUUGUUUCCCUCUUCUUCAUUUUUCUCGAUUAACGCCUCACAAAAACAAAAAUAAAGCAAAACAAAGAAUUGGAUAUUUUUGAUUUAAAUUUACGUGAAUACUUUAAGCAACGUUUUGUUUACUUGAUUCUUUAGCUUCUGACUGUGUCGAUCAUUUCUAAUUUCACUUUUAGAAUUCUAUUUUACAAAUUAAUAGCAGUAGAAACACCCAAGGAAUUUAUUGAAGUUAGUAGUUUGUUAUUAGUUGUGGUGUGAUAGAUUAAGUUUCUGAACAUUAAUUGUUUGUGUAAAUGCCUAACAGAAUAUCACUAUGUAAUUUUCGUUUAUUUUUGGUCUUUUUAUUGACUCAUUUAAAUUUCUUAGUUGGUGUCGUUUCCGGAAAUACUUUCGGCAGCUAAUACAUGUUGUGGAUUACUGCAAUGUAGAGGAGUUCUUCAUAGAGAUUUGAAGCCUUUGCACAGGGACGGAGCUGUUAAGGGACAAAUGGGGGCCAUACACCCCACUACUUUAUGAGAUUUGGUUAGAGAAGCUUAGGUAAUUUGUAGUUGUGGGGGCAAAGAUAAUUGGAAAAGUUGGAUCUUAUCAGAGUCAAAUUUAUUUUUAUUUUAUUUUUUCCUUUAUGUUAAAGAAAUAUCUCUCAUAGUCAUCACCCUCACAAGUUCACUCGAGUCAGGUAGUGGACCUAGUGGUCGAUCAUAUCACUUAUCAGAGACAAAGAACCAAGAUAAAGGAGAAGAAUGGAUUAAAAAAUACCAAGUAUGGAGAGAUACUUCAAAAAAGAAGGCAAGAUUUGCGGAUACAUCAUCAAAUUCAUCACCUUCAAAACGGCAUUGUACUAGAGAUGGGAAUGCAUCAUCUUCUCAACCUAAUACACCAGAACUACUCUAUGCAGGUUAGUAACGGGGAGUCUACAAGCUUUUGGAAGGAUGCUUGGUUGUCAAAUUUGACUCUACAGACUCAAUUCCCCGCGGUGUUUGAGGUAUGUGAUUCGAAGGAAAUAACGGUAGUCUGUGCUAGAACUUUUGUAAAUGAUGUAGUCAGUUGGGACUUAGGUAUUCAUAGAAGGGUGCAUGACCAAGUAGUGGAGGAGCUUACAGAGCUUAUUUUCUUGCUGGAAAAUUACACAAAGAGGGAUCUUGACAGCGAAGAUCACAGAGUGUGGAAGGGUAACAAGGCUAACGGGGUAUUCUCUGUUAAAGAUUGCUAUGAAUGGUUGUGUGUGAAUACUCCUCGUCCCUGAAGGUACGUGUAUGCCAAGAAAUUGUGGUCGAAGUGGUGGCCAACCAAGGUCAGUAUUUUCCUAUGGGUUGCAGGCUUCAACAAAAUUUCGACCCAAGAUAAUGUGUAAGAAAGGGUGGAGAUUUGAAUGGGUAAAUCAUUGUUAUAUGUGUGUGCAAGAUGGUGAGAGCUCUGAUCACCUUCUUCUCAAUUGUCCGACUGCGUGGAAGAUUUGGGGCUCUCUGUUAAAUGAAUGAUCUAUUAAAUGGGCAAUUCCUUGCGAUGUGAUUACGCUCUUGAACUCUUGGAAUUUUAAGCACAUAGUGGGUCGUAGAGUUGAAGUUUUGAAGGUCUUACCGGCUGCAGUUUUGUGAUGCUUAGGGAACGAGAGGAACGACAGAGCUUUCAACGACAAAAGCAAGACAGAGUCGGGAAUCAUUGAGUCGAUUAAGCUUACUAUUGCUUACUGGUUACAUAACAGAGGCCAGUUUUGCAACAUCUCCAUGGUGCAAUUUUUUAUCAGCUGGAAAGAAGUUAUAUUCCAAGGCGAAUCUGUUGUCUGUUUUUGUUCGAAUUCUACUUGUUUUUUCUGUGCUCCCUUUGUUUCAGGGCUUUUCUUUGUUUAGGUGGCUUCUUUAGCUUCUUUUUCUGUUUUUGGUCGAGGGCAUCGGGGAUGAUACUUCAUGUAUUCUUGACAUUUUUCAUCUAUAAUGAGGCAAUGAACAUUUCUAUUCCAA
This is a long non-coding RNA of Papaver somniferum (opium poppy), 1984 nucleotides long. RefSeq lists it as uncharacterized. The record is from RefSeq and is a predicted model, not a curated record. The transcript is spliced from 3 exons. Lineage: Eukaryota; Viridiplantae; Streptophyta; Magnoliopsida; Ranunculales; Papaveraceae.